This 157-nucleotide ribosomal RNA is filed under the name uncultured Methanobrevibacter sp. RNAcentral's name for it is "partial 16S ribosomal RNA". It matches the Rfam family "Archaeal small subunit ribosomal RNA", at positions 339 to 496 of the family's 1478-position model. The record is from RNAcentral. Lineage: Archaea; Methanobacteriati; Methanobacteriota; Methanobacteria; Methanobacteriales; Methanobacteriaceae.
GCGCGAAACCUCGGCAAUGUGAGAAAUCGCGACGGGGGGACCCCAAGUGCCAUUCUUAACGGGAUGGCUUUUCUUAAGUGUAAAAAGCUUCUGGAAUAAGAGCUGGGCAAGACCGGUGCCAGCCGCCGCGGUAACACCGGCAGCUCUAGUGGUGGCC